RNAcentral lists this transfer RNA (71 nucleotides) under Bacillus amyloliquefaciens. Its description in RNAcentral is "tRNA-Cys". It matches the Rfam family "tRNA". From Rfam's summary of the family: Transfer RNA (tRNA) molecules are approximately 80 nucleotides in length. Their secondary structure includes four short double-helical elements and three loops (D, anti-codon, and T loops). Further hydrogen bonds mediate the characteristic L-shaped molecular structure. tRNAs have two regions of fundamental functional importance: the anti-codon, which is responsible for specific mRNA codon recognition, and the 3' end, to which the tRNAs corresponding amino acid is attached (by aminoacyl-tRNA synthetases). tRNAs cope with the degeneracy of the genetic code in two manners: having more than one tRNA (with a specific anti-codon) for a particular amino acid; and 'wobble' base-pairing, i.e. permitting non-standard base-pairing at the 3rd anti-codon position. RNAcentral also lists the same sequence under 4 other names. The record is from RNAcentral. Lineage: Bacteria; Bacillati; Bacillota; Bacilli; Caryophanales; Bacillaceae.
GGUAGCAUAGCCAAGGGGUAAGGCAUAGGUCUGCAAAACCUUGAUCACCAGUUCGAAUCUGGUUGCUACCU